UAUCAUCUUCAGGUGGGGUGAAAAGAUAUGCUCUUAAAGUUAUGGUACCCGAAGCUAAUACUGGAAGAAUCUUGGUGAUUGUAUGGAAGAAAAAAAAAAUAACCGGUUAAGAUGAAUAGCAGUUGGUAUCUUGAUAAUGAAUUUGAAAUGCAAUUUGUCCUGUAAAAUGAAAAAAACCAGCAGAAAUACGAGUAGAAUAAGUUUGUAUGUGUACAGGAUAAAGUGAAUAAAUAAAAAGAUGAGUUUGAGAAGAA
This is a long non-coding RNA of Chrysoperla carnea, 254 nucleotides long. RefSeq lists it as uncharacterized. Lineage: Eukaryota; Metazoa; Arthropoda; Insecta; Neuroptera; Chrysopidae. The transcript has 2 exons. The record is from RefSeq and is a predicted model, not a curated record.